GAAUGAAACUCUGGUUGUUUGUUAUCCUGUGAAGAGUGUAGGUUCACAUGUUGAAGACUUAUCUACACUACUAUUAAACAAGAGAACAUCGUCAGGGGCGGACGAAAACUCUGUCAUCCGGCGUCCCACACCGCGCCUGUUCACGGCUAAAAUUACGGGCCUGCUCCCCAGUCCCCGCAUCUUCUCCUGGAAAAAAAAAGGAAGUACUACGCGCCUGUAGCCCGCAUCUCUCGCGAAGUCCGCCCAACCCGCCGCCGCCGCCGCCCCGCCCGGUGCAUGCCAUCCCCGCCGCUCCUCCUACACGCCGCCGCCGCACACCUCUAGACGCCGGGCCGUGUAUCGCGGGUCAUCGUCUGCUCCUCCUCUGCGGUCUCGCCUCAUAGCUCUGUUAGACUUGGGGGAGGAGGCGUCGAUAUGAGUCGCGAGCGAGCUCAUGGAGCGGCCAGCCGGCUAGGCGGUGUCUACCUAGCCCUGGGAACACGUCGAACCACAGCAAGGGGCAGGGGAGGCUUGACAUAACCGAGUUCGUCGGUCAUGGCGGCAAACAGAGCCGGAGCUUGCGGAGCGGCGGUUACAGGUCGAGGAUGAAGACUAAGAGAGAGGGGAAAGGAGGCAGGGAUAACCACGAGGAGGUUCGUGCUUUCGGCACGACUGGAGAAGGCAGGAGCACAAUUAAUCGACGACGGCGGCUUACGGAUGGUGUCAGAGAAGACGACGUCGCGUGCUCUGUGCAGGGCGUCGCAACUCGAUUCGUUCGGCGUGGAGGAUCAAGAGGGCGUGGAGGCUCUCUCAGAUGCUACGGCUUGUCAGGGAUAAACCGCUGGCCAUGGCGCGUGGCGAAGAGGGAGUUCGAUGAUGAGCGGAGGGCGCACCAGAUUGAGGCAGCCCUUUCAGUUGAGCUGAGUCCUGGUAUCCUUGGAAACAUUUUUGAUGAAAUCCAGAUCUGAAGACGAUGCACCCUGGUAAUUUAAGCCAAAAAAGCUGGGUAAUGCGUUUGGCAUAUUUUAACUGUGAAUGAGGGACAUCUUGUUAAUCGUUAGCAGGCCCUCUAAAACAUCUCCUUUUUAUUAUUUGCUUUAGCUGUUGGAGAUGUUCUCACCGGUGAAGAUCUAUAUGCUGUAAGUCUUAUGAUGUUGAAUUUUCUUUUAUGGAUAUUACUGUACAAAAUGAUGGCAGCUUUGGGCCUGCACCCACAUGCUAAUGUUCGCUGACUCUAUGAUAGACUGUCUUUGAGAACAAUUUGACGAACCACCAUGUAUAUAGCGAAUAAGUUUCUUUACAAGUUGUUAAUCCAAUUUUUAUCUCUGAUCUAUUUACUAAUACUGUUAAAAAAAUGUUUGUUUGGAUGCAAUAUGUUCUGAAAAGACCCUUGGCCAUUACUCAUUAGGUUUUGUCUCCACUCCUAUUUCACUGUAUGAUGAAAUAAUUAUGGAUGUUUCUUGCAAAUACUUGGUCAUUAGGUGUCAUAGUUGUUAAUUUAGUGUUUGGAAGUAACCAGGGAUACUAAAAUUAUCAUUAGGUGUUGUUUCCAUUCUUUAUUGAUCAUAUGGGGAAAUCUAUCUGACUUUUUCUUAUUUCUGAAAGUUUAUGAUGAUUUUGGGCAUACCAAGCUUAAAGAAGAUAUCUCACAAGUAAGUUUGAUAUACUCUGGAUACAUCUUGAUAUGUAUGAUAUCCUCACUGCUUUUAGGGUGACACUGUGAACUUGGGCUUUUUGGAUGGAAAAAAAGUUGAUCCAAACCGACACCAUGUAUUCUUAUGGAUUUAUGCUUUGUCAGUGUAAUCUCCAAUUUCAUUCACAUGUAUACCAUUACUCUUCUCAUGGUCUUGCAGAUGCAUCGUGUCUAGCUUUUUAGCCUUACAAAUUAGAGGUUUUGAUUGAUACAUGCAUAUUAUUGGAAUAUUUGGUGCUUUGAAAAGACUAUGGGUGGAGUCAACAAACUGACUGAAUGUAUGAAAGAAAUCCAAGACUCUUUGUCAGCUUCUCUUGGAGCUUCUGCUAAUUUCAACAAGGUAAUAUUUAAGAUUUAUUACAAUCUUGUAUUUAAUUAUUUUAUCUGAAUCACUUACAUCUAUACUAUUACACACAAAAAACUUGCAUGAUUAAACAGAGGAGGAACUUAAAGAAUUGGAGUGAGCAGUGUGUGUCUGUUAGAUCGAUCUGUAAAUCUUAGUCUACUUGCUGAUUUCAUAGGACUAAUUCACUGGUGCACGGUGAAUGCUCUAGCAUACACAGGUGGAUUUUCCCAUAUAAUUGUAAUAUUAGUCAAGACGUGCAUUGCACGUGCACGCUUACUAGUGCUAUGAAAUUGAAGAAACAACGGCGAACGCAGGUUGGUAUUUAGGGAUCAGAAUUUAUGGGCUUCCGUUGUAUCUUUGGACUUGAAAAGCAAUAGAUCUCAUAUUGGAGCCAUGCUGCAUUAUUGAAGACGUUGAUUGGUCCAACCUUAGCUUCCAUUACAUUCGGCUCGGUAAAUUGCACGGCUUGGGCUGUUAACGGGUUGUUAACCUUAGCUCCCAGGACUAAGGUGUGCCACUGUUCCUACUAAUUUGUAAUUUUGUAUCCUCUCUCUAUCCCACUCCUUUUUUUUGCGAAUACUCUAUCCCACUCCUUUCUUCUGAGUUAAUCCCUUGGAACCUCUCAUCAUUGUUUGUGUAGAUUCUUUUUUAUCUAUAAUACCUACAAGGUGUUCGCAUGAAAA
RNA transcript from Aegilops tauschii subsp. strangulata, 2701 nucleotides. RefSeq lists it as uncharacterized. Lineage: Eukaryota; Viridiplantae; Streptophyta; Magnoliopsida; Poales; Poaceae. The record is from RefSeq and is a predicted model, not a curated record.